UGGGACACCCGCGGCUUAACAUCCGGUGCGGCCUGUACAAGUGCAAAAUUUGUUUUCUUUCUAAAAUUAGAGCAUGCGGCUUUUAAUCAGGUGCGCUCUGUAGUCCGGAAUUUACGACAAACAGGAAACUGGAACGCUAUCACCUCUGAGAAAACAUCACUGCGACUUCCCAGUUCUGAGUUCAGAGGGUUGAUGUACACAUUUCAGAUCAAAACAGAUUUGUCUAUGGGAGGCAGAACCUGUCUCUUCCCCAAACAGUAUGAUGGUUGGACAUGCACAUGCUGUUCAUACUUUCAAACAAUUACUUAAAAAAAUGAACAUUGCACCUUCAGGCAUCUGGAAAUUGUACCCAAGGAUAAACCAGACUAGUAGAUGUCCAUAAUCUCUACCUGAUAGCUUGGAUGAUAUAUUUUGAUUUUUUCCCCGAUGUCACACAAAGAAGUUUUGAAGGUAUUGCCUUAAAUACAUCAA
Girardinichthys multiradiatus is the source of this 471-nucleotide long non-coding RNA. RefSeq lists it as uncharacterized. The transcript is spliced from 3 exons. The record is from RefSeq and is a predicted model, not a curated record. NCBI's taxonomy places the organism in Eukaryota, Metazoa, Chordata, Actinopteri, Cyprinodontiformes, Goodeidae.